Molecule: ribosomal RNA, 580 nt
Filed under: Ammonia sp. genotype T2
Lineage: Eukaryota; Foraminifera; Rotaliida; Rotaliidae
Description: bacterial SSU rRNA
Rfam family: Eukaryotic small subunit ribosomal RNA (bases 1-452)
Source: RNAcentral
GGGUCCGGACACACUGAGGAUUGACAGAUAUACGCUCAUUGCAGUUCGCUGCAUGAGCUGAAAGAUGCUAGUUCUUUCAUGAUUAUGUGAUAGGUGGUGCAUGGCCGUUCUUAGUUCGUGGAGUGAUCUGUCUGCUUAAUUGCGUAUCAAUAAUAGAGACCUAGUAUACGCGUGGAUUUCGCGUGGUAGUGACCCCCUGUUUAACGACAGGCGUGUGUCGCGCACGCGUACCUACGCACUGGUCUCAGAUAGCAACGAACGUGACCGUAUUCUAUUGUUGCAGUGAAAUGUGCCUUCUGGGUACGACCCACUGCUUAGUAUAUGUACGUGCUUCGGCGCGAACAAUAUACAUUAAACUAUAGAGACCGCUGUUUCUUCUUUAAACCAGAGGAAGGAUACGGCAAUAACAGGUCUGUGAUGCCCUCAGAUGUUCCGGGCUGCACACGUGCUACAAUGAUCAUUGCACUGUGCAUCUAACCCAAUGUGCGCGGACGCCGCAUGCAUGUGCUCUUCACGGAGUACACGCAUUGCUGUUGCGACCGCGCCGAACCUACUUCGAAAGUAAAAUUUCUCAGUGGGU